GACGAACGCUGGCGGCGUGCUUAACACAUGCAAGUCGAACGGUAAGGCCCUUCGGGGUACGCGAGUGGCGAACGGGUGAGUAACACGUGGGUGAUCUGCCCUGCACUUCGGGAUAAGCCUGGGAAACUGGGUCUAAUACCGGAUAGGACCACUGCCUGCAUGGGUGGUGGUGGAAAGCUUUUGCGGUGUGGCGAUGGGCCCGCGGCCUAUCAGCUUGUUGGUGGGGGGAUGGCCUACCAAGGCGACGACGGGUAGCCGGCCUGCGAGGGUGACCGGCCACACUGGGACUGAGAUACGGCGCAGACUCCUCCGGGGGGCAGCAGUGGGGAAUAUUGCACAAUGGGCGCAAGCCUGAUUCAGCGACGCCGCGUGAGGGAUGACGGCCUUCGGGUUGUAAACCUCUUUCAGCACCGACGAAGCGCAAGUGACGGUAGGUGCAGAAGAAGGACCGGCCAACUACGUGCCAGCAGCCGCCGUAA
This 479-nucleotide ribosomal RNA is filed under the name uncultured bacterium. RNAcentral describes it as "partial 16S ribosomal RNA". It matches the Rfam family "Bacterial small subunit ribosomal RNA", at positions 28 to 523 of the family's 1533-position model. The record is from RNAcentral.